This is a long non-coding RNA of Prosopis cineraria, 348 nucleotides long. RefSeq lists it as uncharacterized. Lineage: Eukaryota; Viridiplantae; Streptophyta; Magnoliopsida; Fabales; Fabaceae. The record is from RefSeq and is a predicted model, not a curated record. The transcript is spliced from 3 exons.
UAUUAAUCCUAACUUCUAUGUUGUUUUCUUUCAUGGUGAUUUGCAGGACUGGAUGCAUUGGAACUUUAACAAUACUGCUUCUCAGUAUCAAUACAAACACUGGUGUUGGCACAAGAUAUUUAAAGAUAUGUUUGGCAUUGCCUUUGUAAGAGGUUACUAAUGGGGACAGAACUGAAGAGAAUCAUGUAUUCGACAAGAUAACUAGGAGUUUUCAUCAGCUCCACAAGCUAAGUCAUUCACUGAAUAUGGAGAAAGGCAUUGAGAAACAGAAUGGUCCUUUUGUCGAAGAUGAUGGAUCAACCAUGGACGGUAUGAUAACAGUUCAGAGGAAGACUCUGAUUCUAAGCG